This is a long non-coding RNA of Calidris pugnax (ruff), 1501 nucleotides long. RefSeq lists it as uncharacterized. NCBI's taxonomy places the organism in Eukaryota, Metazoa, Chordata, Aves, Charadriiformes, Scolopacidae. The transcript has 3 exons. The record is from RefSeq and is a predicted model, not a curated record.
GCUGCUGCUACAAAGUUGAUGAAGAAAUAAGGUGGUUUUGAAUUAACAACUGGUUUUGACUACACAGCAAAAUCUUAAAGAUGAUCAUUUGUCUGCUUAUUCCCACAGUGCGACAUCGGUUAAACCUCAGAGCGGGAAAACUAAGAUUCCUCUCCACAAACUGGGUUCUCCGGGGCCAUCUUCUCUGAAGUGAUGCGAACCAUCCUAGGGAGGGAGUAAUGCCUGGGAUGCAUAAGCGUAGGAGCCGAAAUCGUGCCUAGGCCUUACAUAAGCUUGUAAUUCAUCUUCAGAUAGGUUCAACAUGUAAAGUUUACGUGCAAUCAUGAACAUCUGUGUUCAGUCAUGUAGAUGAUACCACUGAGGAAUAAUUCAAAGAGUGCACACAGAACAGAACUGCCUGAUUACGUUUUGCUGUAGAUGCCAAGAGCACCCGGCUGCGUUACCGUAUAUGGACACUGGUUUCAUUUUUACUAAAUCGCCUGUGAUAAAGAAACAUGAGCAUUGAUGCAAUGACCUUUUACAAAAAAACUGCUGCCAAUGGAUGUGGUAAUGAAGAAUACAUAAAUGCCUCACACCUGAAGCAGGAAACUGUUUCCAUAAUAUAUUCACAGAAAUCAACUCUGCAAACUCCUACUGGUGUAAAGGUGUUAACCCCUGGUAAUGAAAAUAACGCACACCCCCAGGAAAAAGUUAUUUUCUCAGUUAACCUCAUUUUCAUCACAAGAUGAGUUUCUGCUGCUCAACAUAAAACAGUUUGGCAUUCAACUUGUGAGAAAGGUCAACUGAACAAUUUGUAUUCAAAGACUGUUGGUGCCAUGACGUUUUCCAUAAUGAACUCCAGAAAAACAAAGGCUGCUCUCUGACAGUCCUGAGGUAACGGAAAGACCUGGUAAUAUUUCUGAAGGGACUGAUCAUGUUUAGCUCAGAAAAAAAGUGAAUAAACCCAAAUCUGGAAUAAUUUUUUUGAAGAUGAUUGCUGUUAUGAUCAUUAUUACACCUACUGUUUACUCUGUUGUAACAGGCAGAGACCCACUCAAGAUUAGUGCCUCAUCAUGCUGAAUGUUACGUGAGCACAGGGCAAGACCAAACACCAUCAGUAAGAAACAUGGUCUUGCUCAGUUCUUCCCAAGAAGGAUCUCUCUGAGCCCUCAGUGUACAGGAUAUGAGCUCUAAGUAACGCUCUGUUAAUGCUCAACUCACAUGAAUCAGACGGAAUAACGAGAGAUACUGAUGCAGGAUGCUCCUUCCAUCUCCGGGUACAUCAGCUUUAGGGUUGCUCUGUGCCAGCAGCGCUUACACGGGGCUUUAUAAUCCUCAGUGACUCUAGAGGAAGAUAAAAGAGCGUAUUCCUUCAAAUUCAGUGGGACCGUCUAUGCAAGAAUUAUUUGAAUGGGAAUUCUGGAUAAUUACUGCAAAUUGUCAAAUUUCACUUUGAACCCGUCUAAAUUACUGACUUCAAAACCAUACUGCUGCAGUAGAAGAGAAGCUUGACUCAUCAUGG